Lagopus muta (rock ptarmigan) is the source of this 917-nucleotide long non-coding RNA. RefSeq lists it as uncharacterized. Lineage: Eukaryota; Metazoa; Chordata; Aves; Galliformes; Phasianidae. The record is from RefSeq and is a predicted model, not a curated record. The transcript is spliced from 3 exons.
AUGUCUUUCUCAUGUGCACGCAGUUAUAUUUUAACCCUCCAGUCUAUCUUUGGUAAGUUACUUGCUUGUUGCAGAAGGCCUAGUGGUUUUGUAUUUUAACUGGAAGAAAUGUCUAUUGAAUGUGUGUUGAAUUUGGAAAUCUGAUUUGGCUCAAUUAAAAUGUGAUUAAGCUUUCUGUCUCCAUUGUAGAAGCUGUUAGUGCUCUGGAGAAACAUUAAAUGUUGAAGGCUGGCCUGCUGGUUUUGGCUGAAAUAGAGAGAAAUAUGCAACGCUCUGAGAAAUUCCAGGACUCCCACUAGGUAAAAAUAAAGAAAGCUUUACUUGAGGUUUGUGGUGCACCUGUUCUCUGCUCUGAAGCUGGCUGACAGCAUAGCUGAAAUCUCACAGCAGACAUUUCCUGGCUUUGGUACAGUGUUUUCGAGCAAGCUGCUAAAAGUGGUCUAGCAAGUUGUUAUUUCAGGAAUCAUUUUCAACUGAAGGAACAAUGUGAUUUGCAUAAAGAACCAAGAAACUCUUCUUUUGUUGCCCUCUGGUCUAAAGAUGUCAUUAAUAUAGUAAGUCUGUAGUAAGAUGAGCUGGUUAUUUCCAAUGGAGUCAGAGUAUGUUUAGUAUUUUUUGACUCUGUGAUGUGCUGAGUCUCCUAGACCCUUAUUCUAGGAUGCAUGUUUCAAGACCAUUUCAUGAGUCUUCACAGUGACCUGAUGUACUGUUUCUUCAUGAGAAACUUGGGAAGCAGAGGUGGCAUAUUUCAUAUUGUGGGCCUCCCAGCAUCAUCUCCACGUGGUCCCAUAUGCUCAUUCCUGUUGUACCAAGAACUUACCGAGUUUGUACGUCUUUCCUCAUGAAUCAGAUAAAUGCAUCUCCUCCACGAGCUGCCUAUUUUCUUGUAUACUGUGCAUCACUUCCCCUGCAGAUUG